Molecule: small nuclear RNA, 105 nt
Filed under: Marmota marmota marmota (Alpine marmot)
Lineage: Eukaryota; Metazoa; Chordata; Mammalia; Rodentia; Sciuridae
Source: RNAcentral
GUGCUUGCUUCUGCUGCGUAUACACUAAAAUUGGAAUGAUAGAGAAAACUAGCGUGACCCCUGCGCAAGGAUGACACGCAAAUUCGUGAAGCAUUCCAUGUUUUU